RNAcentral lists this ribosomal RNA (497 nucleotides) under uncultured bacterium. Its description in RNAcentral is "partial 16S ribosomal RNA". It matches the Rfam family "Bacterial small subunit ribosomal RNA", at positions 355 to 840 of the family's 1533-position model. The record is from RNAcentral.
UGGGGAAUAUUGCACAAUGGGCGCAAGCCUGAUGCAGCCAUGCCGCGUGUGUGAAGAAGGCCUUCGGGUUGUAAAGCACUUUCAGCGAGGAGGAAGGUGGUGAGCUUAAUACGCUCAUCAAUUGACGUUACUCGCAGAAGAAGCACCGGCUAACUCCGUGCCAGCAGCCGCGGUAAUACGGAGGGUGCAAGCGUUAAUCGGAAUUACUGGGCGUAAAGCGCACGCAGGCGGUUUGUUAAGUCAGAUGUGAAAUCCCCGGGCUCAACCUGGGAACUGCAUUUGAAACUGGCAAGCUAGAGUCUCGUAGAGGGGGGUAGAAUUCCAGGUGUAGCGGUGAAAUGCGUAGAGAUCUGGAGGAAUACCGGUGGCGAAGGCGGCCCCCCUGGACGAAGACUGACGCUCAGGUGCGAAAGCGUGGGGCAGCAAACAGGAUUAGAUACCCUGGUAGUCCAGCGCUGUAAACGAUGUCGAUUUGGAGGUUGUGCCCCUUGAGGCGU